UGGGGAAUCUUGCGCAAUGGGCGAAAGCCUGACGCAGCGACGCCGCGUGAGUGAUGAAGGCCUUCGGGUUGUAAAGCUCUGUGGGGAGAGAAGAAUAAGUGCGGGCUAAUACCCCGCAUGAUGACGGUAUCUCCUUAGCAAGCACCGGCUAACUCUGUGCCAGCAGCCGCGGUAAGACAGAGGGUGCAAGCGUUAAUCGGAAUGACUGGGCGUAAAGGGCGCGUAGGUGGACAUAUAAGUAAAUUGUGAAAGACCCGGGCUUAACCUGGGAAGGUCAAUUUAAACGGUAUGUCUGGAGUGGAGUAGAGGGAAGUAGAAUUUCCGGUGUAGCGGUGAAAUGCGUAGAUAUCGGAAGGAAUACCGGUGGCGAAGGCGUCUUCCUGGGCUCUAACUGACACUGAGGCGCGAAAGCAUGGGGAUCAAACAGGAUUAGAUACCCCCGUAGUCCCUGAGCGGGCUGGCAAGGCGCAU
Molecule: ribosomal RNA, 471 nt
Filed under: uncultured bacterium
Lineage: Bacteria
Description: bacterial SSU rRNA
Rfam family: Bacterial small subunit ribosomal RNA
Source: RNAcentral